AUUUUAUAACAGCCAAUGCAUAUAAAUCGUUUCAUUUGAAGUCCCAUGAUUUGCAAUACAACUUUAUCUAUGAAAGGAUAUAUCCUCCUAGCUUCAAGAAUCAUUGCGUAUUUUCUGCUUUGGUAUAAUACUUGACAUGGAAAUGAAGAGAAAAAUGUUAAAUAGGUAACGAAGAAGCUAUGACUUUGGUGAAAGAUAUGCAACCAAACAGAACACUAGGAAAGAAAAGAAGAAAAAAAGAAAAAAGGAAUAUAUGCUCCUAAAAUCAUGGCUAGAAUAAAUGAAGCAAUAAUUAUAUCCUUAAUUUGAAUUAUGGUACAUAAAUUGAAAUUUGAUAUGCUUAAACGUAAUAAACACAAACCUUAAACAUGGAAGGUAAUAAGAUUUGCUAUAUGGUAUUCAUAUGUAAAAAUCAUAUAAUGGAUCCGACUAAAAAAGGAAAAGGAAAAGCAAAAAAAAAAAGGGCUCGCUAGACGACCCUCUGCUUUCCUAAUUCUAAUUUGGUUUGGUUAAGCCUAACAGCCUGAAAAUUUCCUACUUGACGCAAGUUUUCGUAAACCUAAUUCAAAUUGGUGAAUAUUUAUUACUCUAUUAUUAGCCUUUAAAAGUAACACUUCCCACGCAGGAUUUUAAACUCAAUUAAAUCCCUCUUUGUUAAAUUGGUUCAUACUUUUCACUUCUCUUUUUUUCUUUUAAUUAAGCCCGCCUGGUAGUGGUGGGGUUGGCGUUCCACUUAUAGUUGCAGUAUCUUAAGUUUGCUUUCAUCAAGUAAAAUUUGAAGAAAAAUAUGGCAGCAUCAAUUUUAGCGCGAAUCGUAGACUUUCCAGCAGAAGGAAUUAGGCCCAGGAUCUUGUUUGAAAUAAUCUUCUGUAACUUUGCAUUAGUAAUCUUUUUUCCAUUUUUGGACAGGCCAGAUAUGCCAAUUAUGGCGUUUAAAGUGAUGAAGACUUGGUUGACUGCCUUUCACGAGAUAUAUUAGAGAGAAAUACAUCAUAAUUAUAGAUGAAGAAGCACAAAUAUGUGACAGAUGCAACACUGGAAUAAUAAGAGGUAUGAUAUUGUCAAUGUUAGAG
Molecule: long non-coding RNA, 1073 nt
Filed under: Nicotiana benthamiana
Lineage: Eukaryota; Viridiplantae; Streptophyta; Magnoliopsida; Solanales; Solanaceae
Description: long non-coding RNA (NBEN_LNC003731)
Source: RNAcentral